RNAcentral lists this ribosomal RNA (228 nucleotides) under uncultured bacterium. RNAcentral describes it as "partial 16S ribosomal RNA". It matches the Rfam family "Bacterial small subunit ribosomal RNA", at positions 103 to 334 of the family's 1533-position model. The record is from RNAcentral.
CGGGUGAGUAAUGUAUGGGGAUCAGCCUGAUGGCGGGGGAUAACUACUGGAAACGGUAGCUAAUACCGCAUAAUGUCUGCGGACCAAAGCGGGGGACCUCCGGGCCUCGCGCCAUCAGAUGAACCCAUAUGGGAUUAGCUUGUAGGUAAGGUAACGGCUUACCUAGGCGACGAUCCCUAGCUGGUCUGAGAGGAUGAUCAGCCACACUGGGACUGAGACACGGCCCAG